GACAGAGGGUGCAAACGUUGCUCGGAAUUACUGGGCGUAAAGCGCGUGUAGGUGGCUUGGUGUGUCAGAUGUGAAAUCCCUGGGCUCAACCCAGGAACUGCACCUGAAACUACCAGUCUUGAGUGGUGGAGAGGGAAGUGGAAUUCCUGGUGUAGAGGUGAAAUUCGUAGAUAUCAGGAGGAACACCAGUGGCGAAGGCGGCUUCCUGGACCAAUACUGACGCUCAUGUGCGAAAGCGUGGGGAGCAAACAGG
Molecule: ribosomal RNA, 253 nt
Filed under: uncultured bacterium
Lineage: Bacteria
Description: partial 16S ribosomal RNA
Rfam family: Bacterial small subunit ribosomal RNA
Source: RNAcentral